This 176-nucleotide non-coding RNA is filed under the name Bacillota bacterium. Lineage: Bacteria; Bacillati; Bacillota. The record is from RNAcentral.
AAUUAUAUAUUCUAUUCGGGUGUCCCCUGUGGAUGAAAAGGGAAACCGGUGCAAGUCCGGUGCGAUCCCGUCACUGUAAGCACGAGCCAAAUCCAGCAAGGCCACUGGCGAAAGCCGGGAAGGCGGAAGAGGCAAUGACUGCAAGCCAGGAAACCUGCCUGAAUAGUGCGUAACAU